UCUCCUUCUAUGUAACCGAUAUGGUCUAUAGUAGCCUAUUAUACCUCUGAAAUUGCAAAGCAAAGGCUUGUAAUACAGUGUUAACCUACUUGAGUUUGGCUCCGAAUUAACCAGCAUUCUAAUAUGUUUUUAAUCAAAUCAUUCCAUCCAAACUGAUCAAAUUCCAACACAGCAAAGUAGCUGUUAUUAUUUAAUGAGUUUUUUCAUCUAGUGAUAAGAUUACUCUCUGGGUUUAACCAAGUACGCCCCUUGUGGACAAAAUAUAACACCAGCAGAUUACAACAUGAGAAACAUCACAUUCAUAGCCUUGAACAUUACAAGCCUCUUCCAAAAACGCAUUCAUA
Molecule: long non-coding RNA, 344 nt
Organism: Etheostoma cragini (Arkansas darter)
Lineage: Eukaryota; Metazoa; Chordata; Actinopteri; Perciformes; Percidae
Exons: 3
Source: RefSeq, a predicted model, not a curated record